Molecule: long non-coding RNA, 1231 nt
Organism: Aedes aegypti (yellow fever mosquito)
Lineage: Eukaryota; Metazoa; Arthropoda; Insecta; Diptera; Culicidae
Exons: 5
Source: RefSeq, a predicted model, not a curated record
GAAAAAAUCUGAUCCCAUUAUCAUGAUUUACGAAUCAUGAAAAUUAUAAAUUGCUCUUGGGACGAAAUCAUGAUUCAGACUCAUGAUUUUUGAAGCUGAGCUACCACUAUCAUGAUUCAGAGCAACCAUUUUCAUGAGCUCCAAAUCAUGACCAUGAAAAGCGUUACGCACACGGUGCACCUGUCAAAACGUGUUUAGCAAAGCUUGUGCAAAGCAUAGUUGGCUGCGCAUUCACGGAAAAGUUGCCCUUUUUUUUAAAAAAAAGUUCACUUUUAUUGCCGGUUUCCUGCGCCGCUGUUGCUCUACUGUCGUUCCUGCUCUACUAUUCCGUUCCUGCUCCGUUGAUAUCGAGCUAUUCCGGCUCUGCAGAACUACCGCCGUUUCAUUCUGUUCCUUUCCUGCCGUGGCUGUUGCCCGUUCCGGCUCCUGUGUACCCGUUCCGGCUCCGCAUUGAGGGAAAAUUCUUCCGGCUCCGCUCUACUAACUACCGCCGUUUUAUUGUCCCAGUGCCACUGUCGCCAUUCCGGCCGCGGCUGUUGCCGUCCAAUAGGUGCAUCCGUUCCGGCUCCGCAUUGAGUGACCAGCUCCGCCCUACCAACUACCGCUCCCGAUUUUGUUGCCGUUCCGGACGAUUCGUUUUCAGCCUUGGCUGGUUCCGCCCAGUAGGUGUUCCCGUUCCGACUUCCCCCACAACUACCGAACGCAGGUGAUAUAGAAGGGAGGAUCGAGCGGCGACUGAACCAUCUCCGCGAAAAAUUUGGGGAAUCAUCGCUUCAACCUCAAAUUGUCGCAGUGGGCACGAGCAACUCAACAAAAGCAACGAUGGUUAUUUUUGGCGGCGCGGAGUAUAUCGCAGAUAAUAUUGUGCAUGCUGUAUGCAUUUGUAUGCAUAUCACUUAUGUGCUAAAUUUGCGUUAUACUCCGGACUGCAAACCGCUGUGGCUCUUUGUUCAGUCAUACCUGUUCAAAAUCCCGGCGUCCAUUAUUGAGCUCCCGAAGAGCACACGUGAUUUGCUAAAAGGUAUAGAUAAUUAAACUGGAAGAUCGUUUUUUUUUUCUUAAAAUAAUCUUUUUUCAAGUGAAAAGAAUAGAAUAAAUGAAUUAAACUCAAAACCCCAAAAUAUGUUUUAAAUAAAUGUUGUACUCACAAAUAGCUUAAGGUGAAGGUGCAGUGCGUUUACUUUCAAAACUAUGCAUUUUGCCUCGCGUUUUCUCGAGCACCAAUCUGAAA